AAGAGUAAAAGAAAAAGGAGGAGUAGAGAGUACCCUAGAAAGUAGAAACGGCCGGUAAAUUUUAGGAAGGCGGCCACCCAAACGGAGCUGCCAAAAAAGCAUCGAUAUUUCAUAUUGAUGGGUGAAUUCUCUCCUCCAUUACCUUAGCAAAAUUAAGCUACAAUUAUGGGUACCUGAGAAUUCAAGAUUACGCCAAAAAAUCUCAUUGCAGAGAUUAUUUUUUAUCAUAAUGGGUUCUUUUUAUUGUUUAUGUUUCUGAUUCUGUUAACAGUAUAUGAGGGUUUUGAUUUGAUAUGCAUUUAUUUAUCAUGCAAUUUAUGCUCACUAGUUUUGACUUAACCAGUUUUCCAUACCCCCUAUUUGUUGUUAUUCUUCUCUGGUGCACUCAACUUUCACUCUUGGAGCUUCUAUUAGAGAGCAUUAAUGUCUUUGAUGUGCUGUUAUUAUUGGGCUGGAGCUAAGUAGAUGUUUUGGUCUAUGGUUUGGCUUUUGAAAUAAGUCCAAUCUUGUAUUUUCUACAGCAGCUUAUUAGUUCUUUGUUUCCUUUUUUAUUUAUUAUAUAAUUUUUUUAAAGUGAUGCUAAAGAUACUACAAAUUUGACUUUAACUUAUAAAUUCUAAUGCUGUUGAAGUUAACAAUCAUGUUCAUUGCAGUUUUAUAGUAAACUUGGUAGUAAUUCUAGCAUUACCUUUUAAAAUAUUUGUUGGAAACUAAUUGGUUGAAGCAUGUCUAGAUCAAGGUGUUUUCCUGAUCUUUAUGCAGUUAUGCUUACCUUCAAUGUUCACCAUGCCAUAAAGAAGUAAAACUUCGUGUUUAUUUUUGUCAGGCAUUCUCUUGCUAAUCUCUAGUUAUCUGCAAAGAAUUCUUACUUUCUUAGAUGGUGAACUAAACCAACCUCACCAUCCUCCCGUUUCUGUAGAAGAAGGAAUUGCAAUUUGAGCUAGAGCUCAUGCGGUAGUGUGGGGGAAAUUGUAUAUCUUUGUAUAUUAGGGGAAUAAAACUUUGUUGCAAUGGAAAUUAUCUUAUAAAGGUAAUUUUGGUGUAUAUUUUUCUAAUUUUUAUAUGUAUUCUUAUGUCAUGUUUACUUUGCUCCUUACUGAGGAAUUAUGGAAAAAUACCAUUGAUAUUAUGUAUAUGGUUGCAAUUGUGAAAAAAGGUUUUAUUUCUCGUCAAAAACCCAAUCUUUAGCUCUGAGACAAGUAGUGUCUCUCAAGUUCUGAAAUGACUUUCUGGAAAGGUUACUAGUUGAUGCAUCAUACUCUGGUUUCUUUAUGAUGAAAUGAUUGGUCAUUGUCAUUUAAAAUUUUGCUGGGUUUAACUUUUGAUUCUCUUUUGAAGUGUUAUCAGUUAAUAGGAAAUUAAUCUCAAGACUUUAGCUGACUUGUUGCAACAAUGUGAUUUCAGGCAGAUCAUAUUUCAUCAUUUUCUAUCCUGGCCUUUUAUUCUCUCUCUCCUAUAGGAUGGAUUAAUCUGUGAACUAACCAAAUUUCAUCUAUUGUGUUGAGAAUUAAGAACUAUAUGAUUGCUUACUUAUUGAAAAAAAAGCUAUACGAUUGCUUAAAUGUCUCAUCUUUUUGGUUCCAUUGCCCAUUUUAAAGUAUAUCAAGUCUAGUUAAGAUGCUUUUUAGACUCCAAAUCUCCACAGGUUUCAGUGAUACUCCUAUAUGUUUUGAUUUCCAUUAUUUCCAUAGCAGAAAAUACCUUCUCCUAGCUUCUUAAUCUUAAGUAAUUUUUAUGUGAUGAAAAUGUGGGGCCUUACUUGAAAAUUUGAUGUCUUAUUCAUUCUAUAUUUGACUAAAUAUGAAGCAUUAAGCAAUUCUCGUGCUGCAUUAUUUAUUGCUGUUGGUUAUAUCCAAAUUUUCACAUUCAUUAUGAAUCCUAAUUUCCAGGAUUGAUAACUGGAGCACUGGAUGUACUUAUCUCCUAUUGGACCUAGAUGUAAAGUUGGUUUUUAGUAACUAAUAUCUAUUGUGUGGAGCCAUGUGCUUGAUACUUUUUAUUUUUUAUUUUUCAUCUAGGAUUUAAUUUCUAUGUGGCGAAAGGAAAACAGAAUACAAAUUCAGGUCUCCAAGUUAUGUUCUGUAUAUGUAAGUAAAAAUUAUGGUGCUACUUUUCUGUUAGCCUUACUUUUGCUUUUAUAUCAUCAUGCGAAUGGCAGACCAUGAGGAAACAAAGUGGCAGAUCGUUGUCUCAUGACUGCCCAGCUUACUGCUGCAGGUGGUUAUGUGGCUGUAUAUGAUGUUUGCCUUACUCAUCUGAGUGU
Molecule: long non-coding RNA, 2263 nt
Organism: Quercus robur (English oak)
Lineage: Eukaryota; Viridiplantae; Streptophyta; Magnoliopsida; Fagales; Fagaceae
Exons: 2
Source: RefSeq, a predicted model, not a curated record